AACGAACGCUGGCGGCAUGCCUAACACAUGCAAGUCGAACGAGACCUUCGGGUCUAGUGGCGCACGGGUGCGUAACGCGUGGGAAUCUGCCCUUGGGUUCGGAAUAACAGUUGGAAACGACUGCUAAUACCGGAUGAUGACGUAAGUCCAAAGAUUUAUCGCCCAAGGAUGAGCCCGCGUAGGAUUAGCUAGUUGGUGAGGUAAAGGCUCACCAAGGCGACGAUCCUUAGCUGGUCUGAGAGGAUGAUCAGCCACACUGGGACUGAGACACGGCCCAGACUCCUACGGGAGGCAGCAGUGGGGAAUAUUGGACAAUGGGCGAAAGCCUGAUCCAGCAAUGCCGCGUGAGUGAUGAAGGCCUUAGGGUUGUAAAGCUCUUUUACCCGAGAUGAUAAUGACAGUAUCGGAGAAUAAGCUACCGGCUAACUCCGUGCCAGCAGCCGCGGUAA
RNAcentral lists this ribosomal RNA (449 nucleotides) under uncultured bacterium. Its description in RNAcentral is "bacterial SSU rRNA". It matches the Rfam family "Bacterial small subunit ribosomal RNA", at positions 29 to 523 of the family's 1533-position model. The record is from RNAcentral.